ACAGUGGACGCGAGCAUCUGUGGCCAAGUUUUUAAGGGCGCACGGUGGAUGCCUUGGCACCAGGAACCGAUGAAGGACGUGGGAGGCCACGAUAGUCCCCGGGGAGCCGUCAACCAGGCUUUGAUCCGGGGGUUUCCGAAUGGGGAAACCCGGCAGUCGUCAUGGGCUGUCACCCGCUGCUGAACACAUAGGCAGUGUGGAGGGAACGCGGGGAAGUGAAACAUCUCAGUACCCGCAGGAAGAGAAAACAACCGUGAUUCCGGGAGUAGUGGCGAGCGAAACCGGAUGAGGCCAAACCGUAUACGUGUGAGACCCGGCAGGGGUUGCGUGUGCGGGGUUGUGGGAUCUCUCUUUCACAGUCUGCCGGCUGUGAGGCGAGUCAGAAACCGUUGAUGUAGGCGAAGGACAUGCGAAAGGUCCGGCGUAGAGGGUAAGACCCCCGUAGUCGAAACAUCAGCGGCUCGUUUGAGAGACACCCAAGUAGCACGGGGCCCGAGAAAUCCCGUGUGAAUCUGGCGGGACCACCCGCUAAGCCUAAAUAUUCCCUGGUGACCGAUAGCGGAUAGUACCGUGAGGGAAUGGUGAAAAGUACCGCGGGAGCGGAGUGAAAUAGUACCUGAAACCGUGUGCCUACAAGCCGUGGGAGCGUCGGACGGAGAGCUUGCUCUUCGUCUCGUGACUGCGUGCCUUUUGAAGAAUGAGCCUGCGAGUUUGCGGUGUGUUGCGAGGUUAACCCGAGUGGGGAAGCCGUAGCGAAAGCGAGUCCGAAUAGGGCGUUUCAGUAGCACGCUCAAGACCCGAAGCGGAGUGAUCUAGCCAUGGGCAGGUUGAAGCGGAGGUAAGACUUCGUGGAGGACCGAACCCACCAGGGUUGAAAACCUGGGGGAUGACCUGUGGUUAGGGGUGAAAGGCCAAUCAAACUCCGUGAUAGCUGGUUCUCCCCGAAAUGCAUUUAGGUGCAGCGUCGUGUGUUUCUUGCCGGAGGUAGAGCACUGGAUAGGCGAUGGGCCCUACCGGGUUACUGACCUUAGCCAAACUCCGAAUGCCGGUAAGUGAGAGCGCGGCAGUGAGACUGUGGGGGAUAAGCUCCAUGGUCGAGAGGGAAACAGCCCAGAGCAUCGACUAAGGCCCCUAAGCGUACGCUAAGUGGGAAAGGAUGUGGAGUCGCACAGACAACCAGGAGGUUGGCUUAGAAGCAGCCACCCUUGAAAGAGUGCGUAAUAGCUCACUGGUCUAGUGAUUCCGCGCCGACAAUGUAGCGGGGCUCAAGCGUACCGCCGAAGUCGUGUCAUUCAUACAAUAGGGCCAACGCCUGUAUGGAUGGGUAGGGGAGCGUCGUGUGCCGGGUGAAGCAGCCGCGGAAGCGAGUUGUGGACGGUUCACGAGUGAGAAUGCAGGCAUGAGUAGCGAUACAAACGUGAGAAACGUUUGCGCCGAUUGACUAAGGGUUCCUGGGUCAAGCUGAUCUGCCCAGGGUAAGUCGGGACCUAAGGCGAGGCCGACAGGCGUAGUCGAUGGAUAACCGGUUGAUAUUCCGGUACCCGCUGUGAAGCGUCAAACAUCGAGCAUCGUGAUGCUAAGGCCGUGAAGCCGCCCUGAUCUCUUCGGAGUUGAGGGGAGUGGUGGAGCCGCCGGACCAAGCGGUUAGUAGGUGAGUGAUGGGGUGACGCAGGAAGGUAGUCCAUCCCGGGCGGUGGUUGUCCCGGGGUAAGGGUGUAGGACGUCAGGUAGGUAAAUCCGCCUGGCAAUAGUCUGAGACCUGAUGCCGAGCCGAUUGUGGUGAAGUGGAUGAUCCUAUGCUGUCGAGAAAAGCCUCUAGCGAGUUUCAUGGCGGCCCGUACCCUAAACCGACUCAGGUGGUCAGGUAGAGAAUACCGAGGCGUUCGGGUGAACUAUGGUUAAGGAACUCGGCAAAAUGCCCCCGUAACUUCGGGAGAAGGGGGGCCACACCUGGUGAUGAUCUUUACGGUCUGAGCUGGGGGUGGCCGCAGAGACCAGCGAGAAGCGACUGUUUACUAAAAACACAGGUCCGUGCGAAGCCGUAAGGCGAUGUAUACGGACUGACGCCUGCCCGGUGCUGGAACGUUAAGGGGACCGGUUAGCUCCAUUUCGGUGGGGCGAAGCUGAGAACUUAAGCGCCAGUAAACGGCGGUGGUAACUAUAACCAUCCUAAGGUAGCGAAAUUCCUUGUCGGGUAAGUUCCGACCUGCACGAAUGGCGUAACGACUUCUCGACUGUCUCAACCAUAGGCCCGGUGAAAUUGCACUACGAGUAAAGAUGCUCGUUUCGCGCAGCAGGACGGAAAGACCCCGGGACCUUUACUACAGUUUGAUAUUGGUGUUCGGUUCGGCUUGUGUAGGAUAGCUGGGAGACUUUGAAGCUCGCACGCCAGUGUGGGUGGAGUCGUCGUUGAAAUACCAGUCUGGUCGUGCUGGAUGUCUAACCUGGGUCCGUGAUCCGGAUCAGGGACAGUGUCUGAUGGGUAGUUUAACUGGGGCGGUUGCCUCCUAAAGAGUAACGGAGGCGCCCAAAGGUUCCCUCAGCCUGGUUGGCAAUCAGGUGUUGAGUGUAAGUGCACAAGGGAGCUUGACUGUGAGACCGACGGGUCGAGCAGGGACGAAAGUCGGGACUAGUGAUCCGGCGGUGGCUUGUGGAAGCGCCGUCGCUCAACGGAUAAAAGGUACCCCGGGGAUAACAGGCUGAUCUUCCCCAAGAGUCCAUAUCGACGGGAUGGUUUGGCACCUCGAUGUCGGCUCGUCGCAUCCUGGGGCUGGAGUCGGUCCCAAGGGUUGGGCUGUUCGCCCAUUAAAGCGGUACGCGAGCUGGGUUUAGAACGUCGUGAGACAGUUCGGUCCCUAUCCGCUGUGCGCGUAGGAGUCUUGAGAAGGGCUGUCCCUAGUACGAGAGGACCGGGACGGACGAACCUCUGGUGUGCCAGUUGUCCUGCCAAGGGCAUGGCUGGUUGGCUACGUUCGGGAGGGAUAACCGCUGAAAGCAUCUAAGCGGGAAGCCUGCUUCGAGAUGAGGACUCCCACCCCCUUGAGGGGUUAAGGCUCCCAGUAGACGACUGGGUUGAUAGGCCGGAUCUGGAAGCACCGCAAGGUGUGGAGGUGACCGGUACUAAUAGGCCGAGGGCUUGUCCUCAGUUG
RNAcentral lists this ribosomal RNA (3149 nucleotides) under Streptomyces ambofaciens. RNAcentral describes it as "bacterial LSU rRNA". It matches the Rfam family "Bacterial large subunit ribosomal RNA". Lineage: Bacteria; Bacillati; Actinomycetota; Actinomycetes; Kitasatosporales; Streptomycetaceae. The record is from RNAcentral.